RNAcentral lists this ribosomal RNA (460 nucleotides) under uncultured bacterium. RNAcentral's name for it is "bacterial SSU rRNA". It matches the Rfam family "Bacterial small subunit ribosomal RNA", at positions 29 to 506 of the family's 1533-position model. The record is from RNAcentral.
AUGAACGCUAGCGGUGCGCCUAACACAUGCAAGUCGAGCGCCCUCACUUUGGGAACAAUUAGUUUGUUCCCAGUGUGAGGGAGCGGCGAACGGGUGAGUAACACGUUGGAACCUACCCCAGACUCAGGGAUAGCCCGCCGAAAGGUGGAUUAAUACCGGAUAGUCUCGUAAGAGUAAAGCUUUUGCGGUCUGGGAGGGGCCUGCGGCCUAUCAGCUAGUUGGUAAGGUAAUGGCUUACCAAGGCUAUGACGGGUAACUGGUGUGAGAGCAUGACCAGUCACAAUGGAACUGAGACACGGUCCAUACUCCUACGGGAGGCAGCAGUGAGGAAUCUUCCGCAAUGGGCGAAAGCCUGACGGAGCGACACCGCGUGGAGGACGAAGGCCUUUUGGUUGUAAACUCCUUUUCUGGGGGAAUAAAUGAUGAAUGUACCCCAGGAAUAAGCACCGGCUAACUACGU